This 29-nucleotide non-coding RNA is filed under the name Rattus norvegicus (Norway rat). Lineage: Eukaryota; Metazoa; Chordata; Mammalia; Rodentia; Muridae. The record is from RNAcentral.
UGAAGGAAAAAGGAACUGCCUGCUCUAAA